CAGUAGCCGCGGUAAUACGGAGGAUCCAAGCGUUAUCCGGAAUCAUUGGGUUUAAAGGGUCCGUAGGCGGUCUUGUAAGUCAGUGGUGAAAGCCCAUCGCUCAACGGUGGAACGGCCAUUGAUACUGCAGGACUUGAAUUAUUGGGAAGUAACUAGAAUAUGUAGUGUAGCGGUGAAAUGCUUAGAGAUUACAUGGAAUACCAAUUGCGAAGGCAGGUUACUACCAAUUGAUUGACGCUGAUGGACGAAAGCGUGGGUAGCGAACAGGAUUAGAUACCCCAGUAGUCCCUGUCUCUUAUAA
This 301-nucleotide ribosomal RNA is filed under the name uncultured bacterium. RNAcentral's name for it is "partial 16S ribosomal RNA". It matches the Rfam family "Bacterial small subunit ribosomal RNA", at positions 509 to 809 of the family's 1533-position model. The record is from RNAcentral.